Molecule: ribosomal RNA, 253 nt
Filed under: uncultured bacterium
Lineage: Bacteria
Description: partial 16S ribosomal RNA
Rfam family: Bacterial small subunit ribosomal RNA
Source: RNAcentral
UACGGAGGGUGCGAGCGUUAAUCGGAAUUACUGGGCGUAAAGCGUUCGCAGGCGGUCUGUCACGUCAGAUGUGAAAACCCCGGGCUUAACCUGGGAACUGCAUUUGUGACUGGCAGGCUAGAGUAUGGCAGAGGGGGGUAGAAUUCCACGUGUAGCAGUGAAAUGCGUAGAGAUGUGGAGGAAUACCGAUGGCGAAGGCAGCCCCCUGGGCCAAUACUGACGCUCAUGCACGAAAGCGUGGGGAGCAAACAGG